Molecule: ribosomal RNA, 450 nt
Filed under: uncultured bacterium
Lineage: Bacteria
Description: bacterial SSU rRNA
Rfam family: Bacterial small subunit ribosomal RNA
Source: RNAcentral
AACGAACGCUGGCGGCAUGCCUAACACAUGCAAGUCGAACGAGACCUUCGGGUCUAGUGGCGCACGGGUGCGUAACGCGUGGGAAUCUGCCCUGGGGUACGGAAUAACAGUGAGAAAUUACUGCUAAUACCGUAUGAUGACGUAAGUCCAAAGAUUUAUCGCCCUGGGAUGAGCCCGGGUAGGAUUAGCUUGUUGGUGAGGUAAAAGCUCACCAAGGCGACGAUCCUUAGCUGGUCUGAGAGGAUGAUCAGCCACACUGGGACUGAGACACGGCCCAGACUCCUACGGGAGGCAGCAGUGGGGAAUAUUGGACAAUGGGCGAAAGCCUGAUCCAGCAAUGCCGCGUGAGUGAUGAAGGCCUUAGGGUUGUAAAGCUCUUUUACCCGGGAAGAUAAUGACUGUACCGGGAGAAUAAGCCCCGGCUAACUCCGUGCCAGCAGCCGCGGUAAU